AGGGUUUGAUCCUGGCUCACGAUGAACGCUGGCGGUAUGCCUAACACAUGCAAGUCGUACGAGAGUUUUUAACUCUAGUGGCGGACGGGUGAGUAACACGUGAGAAUUUACCUUUAGGAGGGGGAUAACAAUUGGAAACGAUUGCUAAUACCCCAUAUGCUUUUGAGUGAAAUGGAUUUAUAUUUAUCCGCCUAGAGAGAAGCUCGCGGCUGAUUAGCUUGUUGGUAAGGUAAGAGCUUACCAAGGCGACGAUCAGUAUCUGGUUUGAGAGGACGAUCAGACACACUGGAACUGAGACACGGUCCAGACUCCUACGGGAGGCAGCAGUGGGGAAUUUUCCGCAAUGGGCGAAAGCCUGACGGAGCAAUACCGCGUGAGGGAAGACUGCCUAUGGGUUGUAAACCUCUUUUUUCAGGGAGGAAUAAAAUGACGUGUACCUGAAGAAUAAGCAUCGGCUAACUCCGUGCCAGCAGCCGCGGUAAGACGGAGGAUGCAAGUGUUAUCCGGAAUCACUGGGCGUAAAGCGUCUGUAGGUGGUUUAAUAAGUCAACUGUUAAAUCUUGAGGCUCAACUUCAAAAUCGCAGUCGAAACUAUUAGACUAGAGUAUAGUAGAGGUAAAGGGAAUUUCCAGUGGAGCGGUGAAAUGCGUAGAUAUUGGAAAGAACACCGAUGGCGAAAGCACUUUACUGGGCUAUUACUAACACUCAGAGACGAAAGCUAGGGUAGCAAAUGGGAUUAGAUACCCCAGUAGUCCUAGCCGUAAACUAUGGAUACUAGAUGUUGAACAGAUCGACCUGUGCAGUAUCAAAGCUAACGCGUUAAGUAUCCCGCCUGGGAAGUAUGCUCGCAAGAGUGAAACUCAAAGGAAUUGA
Molecule: ribosomal RNA, 873 nt
Filed under: uncultured eukaryote
Lineage: Eukaryota
Description: bacterial SSU rRNA
Rfam family: Bacterial small subunit ribosomal RNA
Source: RNAcentral